CUAAGUUUGAUGGCGACCGGCGCACGGGUGAGUAACACGUAUCCAACCUGCCGAUGACUCGGGGAUAGCCUUUCGAAAGAAAGAUUAAUACCCGAUGGCAUAGUUCUUCCGCAUGGUAGAACUAUUAAAGGAUUUCGGUCAUCGAUGGGGAUGCGUUCCAUUAGGUUGUUGGCGGGGUAACGGCCCACCAGGCCUUCGAUGGAUAGGGGUUCUGAGAGGAAGGUCCCCCACAUUGGAACUGAGACACGGUCCAAACUCCUACGGGAGGCAGCAUG
Molecule: ribosomal RNA, 275 nt
Filed under: uncultured bacterium
Lineage: Bacteria
Description: partial 16S ribosomal RNA
Rfam family: Bacterial small subunit ribosomal RNA
Source: RNAcentral